Molecule: RNA transcript, 5976 nt
Organism: Callithrix jacchus (white-tufted-ear marmoset)
Lineage: Eukaryota; Metazoa; Chordata; Mammalia; Primates; Cebidae
Gene name: RING finger protein 141 pseudogene
Source: RefSeq, a predicted model, not a curated record
GGGGCGGGGCGGGGCGGGCAAGCUGAUGUAGGACGGUGUGCGUUUGCGCACCAGCCGGUUUUUCUCAGGCGGUUUCGCGCACUGCCCCAGCGCUGACAGGGCAUCCAAAUAUGUAAGGCAAAAAUAGAACUACAAGAAGAACUGGACGAAUCUACUAUUAUAGUUGGAGACUUUAACACUCCUAUAUCAGAAAUGGACAUAGUCAACAAGCAGAAAACCAGUAAGGACAUAGUUGAAUUCAAUAAGACCACCAAUCAACUGUAUAUAAUUGACACCUAUAGAGUACUUCAUCCAGCAGCAGACAGCUCAUUACAGUUCUUCUCAAGAUCACAUGGAGCAUACACCAAGAUAGAUCAUACUCUGGGCUAUAAAACACACCUCAACAAAUGUAAAAGAAGUCACAUAGCAUCUGCUUUCAGACCACAUGAAAUUAAACUAGAAAUUGAUAUCAGAAACAUAACUGAGAAUCACAAAUACUUGGAGAUUAAACGACAUAUCUCUAAGUAAUAUAUGAGUCAAAAAAGUCUGAUGAAAAGAGUAAAAUAUUUGAAAUAAAUGAAACUAUAACUUGCCAAAAUGUGUAAGAUACAGCAAAAGCAGUGCUUAGAAAUUUAUAGCAUUGAAUACAUAUAUUAGAAAAGAAGAUUUAAAAUCAUUAAUCCAGCUGUCAGCUUUUAUCUCAGAGGAGGACAAUGUGAAACUUUCUUCAGUUGUCCCGAAUCUGGGUUCAUAGAACACUAGCCCCUCCACCAUGCCACUGAAGAAAAAAGUAAAAGAAUUCAUUCAAUAUUCUGCCUUAGGAAACUAGAAAAAAAAGAGCAAAUUAAGUCCAAAUAAGCAGAAUAAGAUAAAUAAAAAUUGUAGCAGAUAUCAAUAAAACUGAAAGCAGGAAAGCAAUAGAGAAAAAUAACAAAACCAAAAUCUAGCUUUAAAAAAAAAAUCGGGCCGGGCACGGUGGCUCAAGCCUGUAAUCCCAGCACUUUGGGAGGCCGAGGCAGGUGGAUCACGAGGUCAAGAGAUCGAGACCAUCCUGGUCAACAUGGUGCAACCCCGUCUCUACUAAAAACACAAAAAAAUCAGCUGGGCAUGGUGGCGCGUGCCUGUAAUCCCAGCUACUCGGGAGGCUGAGCCAGGAGAAUUGCCUGAACCCAGGAGGCAGAGGUUGCGGUGAGCCGAGAGUGCGCCAUUGCACUCCAUCCUGGGUUACAAGAGCGAAACUCCGUCUCAAAAAAAAAAAAAAUCAAAAAAGUUGAUAAACCUUAGGCAGGCUUACUAAGCAAAAGAGAGGGAAGACGCAAUUACUAACAUCAAAAGUAAAAGAGGGGGCAUCGCUACAGAUCCCAUGCACACUAAAAGAAUAAUAAAGGAAAAUUAUGGAUAACUCUAUGCCUACACAUUUGAUUACCUAGAUGGAAAUGGACCGAUUACUUAAAAGACACAGUCUGGCUGACGCCCGCCAGGCUGAGCUGUGGACCCAGGCGGCGCUGCUGCUGCUGCUGGGUGCCCAAUGCCUUGAACCUGGGGAAACUAUGUGAAGCAACACUUCGGAUUUUGAAAGACAUCAUUUCAUCAUGGGACAGCAAAUUUCGGAUCAGACACAGUUGGUUAUUAGCAAGUUACCAGAAAAAGUAGCAAAACAUGUCACAUUGGUUCGAGAAAAUGGCUCCUUAACUUACAAAGAACUUCUUGGGAGAGUAGCUGAGCUUAAUGAUGUAACUGCUAAAGUGGCUUCUGGCCAGGAAAAACAUCUCUUUGAGGUACAACCUGGGUCUGAUUCCUCUGCUUUUUGGAAAGUGGUGGUACGGGUGGUCUGCAUCAAGAUUAACAAAAGCAGUGGCAUUGUGGAGGCAUCACGGAUCAUGAAUUUGUACCAGUUUAUUCAAAUUUAUAAAGAUAUCACAAGUCAAGCAGCAGGAGUAUUAGCACAAAGCUCCACCUCUGAAGAACCUGAUGAAAGCUCAUCCUCUGUAACAUCUUGUCAGGCUAGUUUUUGGAUUGGAAGGGUAAAGCAGCUGACUGAUGAGGAGGAGUGUUGUAUCUGUAUGGACUGGCAAGCUGACCUCAUCCUGCCUUGUGCUCACAGCUUUUGUCAGAAGUGUAUUGAUAAAUGGAGUGAUUGACACAGGAAUUGCCCUAUUUGUCGCCUACAGAUGACUGGAGCAAAUGAAUUUUGGGUGGUAUCAGAUGCACCCACUGAAGAUGAUAUAGCUAACUAUGUUCUUAACAUGGCUGACGAGGCAGGCCAGCCCCACAGGCCAUGACCUUGGAGUGAAGGUCUUCUGUUGCUAUUGUAGGCUACAAAUAUUUGAUCAUGGGGGAAGAACACAAGGUUGUGGCACAGACACAGAAAAAUCCAUUUUCCCCACCCUUUUAUUUCUGCUACUCUGAUCAUUUGUCCCACUUUAAAAAAUUAAUGUCCCAUGUCUUCCAUUUAUGGUAAACUAAAAUUUGCUACUGUUUUAGACUAUAUUUUCCUAUUAUUUGUCUGUUCAAAUUUGUAUUACAAUUAAUUGCUCCUGAAUUCUUUGCUAAAGGUAACAGCAGCACUUCCAGAGGCUUCUGAAACACUAAUGUUUUGUGGAGCAGGAGUAUUCUGAGGUUAGUAGUUUGAGACCAGCCUGGCCAACAUGGUAAAACCCUGUCUCUAUUAAGAUACAAAAACUAGGGCCGGGUGCGGUGGCUCAAGCCUGUAAUCCCAGCACUUUGGGAGGCCGAGGCGGGUGGAUCACGAGGUCGAGAGAUCGAGACCAACCUGGUCAACAUGGUGAAACCCCGUCUCUACUAAAAUACAAAAAAUUAGCUGGGCAUGGUGACGCGUGCCUGUAAUCCCGGCUACUCAGGAGGCUGAGGCAGGAGAAUUGCCUGAACCCAGGAGGCGGAGGUUGCGGUGAGCCGAGAUCGCGCCAUUGCACUCCAGCCUGGGUAACAAGAGCGAAACUCUGUCUCAAAAAAAAAAAAAAAAAAAAAAAAGAUACAAAAACUAGCUGGGCCUGGUGGCAAGCACCUGUGAUCUCAGCUACUCGAUAGGCUGAGGCAGGAGAAUUGCUUGAACCUGGGAGGUGGAGGUUGUAAUGAGCCAAGAUUGUGCCACUGCACUCUAGCCCAGGAGACAGAGCGAGAUUCCUUCUCAAAAAAAAGGACAAGAAAAUAGAGUGAUGCUUUUUUACUGUAUAUACAUAAAAGACGUCUGAAAAUUAGAAGAUAAUUUGGCAUUCUUGCUGUUUCACUGUACUUCCAUUGAAAUAUUCUUUCCAUUAAAAUAGUCUAAAAGAAUAUAGUAAUAAUGGAAUUGUGAUCUUCAGUCACAACCAUUUUUUUGCUUAUCAUCUAAAUUUCUAACAUUAAUAUUUUGGCAUGUAAUAAAACAAGGGCCUGCCUCCUUUAAAAUGUAACAUUCCAUGUAACUUUUCUGACUUCUUCAAAGUUGCAAAUAUUGCUAUUUUCCUAAACCAGGGUACACAAUUUAAGUUGCCACUGAUUGAUGACAGAAUUUUUGGAUAAUAGGGUUUUAAUAGGCAAGCAAAUAAAAUUAAAUCAAUUUCAAGGAAAAACAUCUGGUAUUUCAAGGUAGCUUGAAAUUUCAAAUUCCAAGGUAGCUUGAUCUUGCCCCAAAAAAUGCUGAAGACUAAUCCAUUGACAUUCAUAAUGGGACAGCUAAAUACCAAACAGCUAACUACUCCCUAUGGAGGUUUAUGCAAGCAGAGUACCAGGGGUUCCAUCAUAUCAACCUGGCAAUGCACUUGGUGGUUGUGUGACCUUGAGAAAGUCUCUUACUGUUGUUUGUAGGUUCCUACUUUAGAAACUGAGACUUUAUUUGUGGUUUUCCCACUAUGUCAGCAGCAAAAACUUUUUUUUCAAGGAAAAUCUUACAGAACCCUUAAACACACAUGCAUACACACACAUCCUACCCCUUAUAUAAAAGUCAUAUUUUAUUAUAAAUGUCCUUAUUUAUUAUAUAAACUUUAUAUACUAUAAAUAUGAUUAAGUCAACCAAUAAAAACACAUUGAUGCAUUGGUAAUAGCAGUAUGUUUGAAUUUAGUGAGUAACACCCUUGUAUAAUGGGAGUUGUUUUUUUUAAAAAGUUUUUUAAUUCGGUCAAAUUUGCAGAACCCUGUAUCUCCUCCACAGAUUCUUCGUGUUCCAUGGAAUAUAUUUUGAAAACCUUGGGAUAGAUGAUCCACUGGGAUCUUUUCCAGCUCAAAGAUUUUAAAUUUUCCUUUUGGAUUAGACUUGCUGAGCUUAAUUCAGAUUGUCUCAUUUAAAAAUGUUUCUGAAAUGUGAACAAAGUUACCUUACAGAGUUUUGCAUCUUUCCAGGGAUAGCCAAUGAUUUUAUCCCCCAGAAUCCUUCACCUUUCAAGGAAUUAUUUAACAAUGAGACCAGUGACUCAACAGGGCCCAAACCUUUUUAUUUUACAAUAUGAGCUCCAAGACACUUACUGAUCUACUGUGAAUAUAAAAUAUUAUUAGCCUUAUCAAAUAUCGAAUAAAUGAAUACAGCUCUUUGUUCACGCUAUUAAACUGGGUGAUAAUUCUUUAGAUGUGACUGUUAGGUAGGUUCUACUGUAAUAACAUCGUAAAAGUUGUAAAUUUGUUUGAUAGAUGUUUUGUAUUCUGUACAGCAUUGUCUUUUUUAAAUUUGAAGUACUUAAAUGUACUUACUAUAAUAGGAAACAUAAUGUGUGCCUUCUAGGAUUUGUGAAGUGGUCUCAUGAGCUCUAAGGAAUUUGUUUUAUAAGUUAUAAAGUUUUCCCUAUCCUAACUCAGUAACAGAGGGUUUACUCCGAUUAUGUAUAGAACCUUAGUUUGAGAAAAUGAAUUUGACUAUGUACUGAAUUUAGAGGUUGAGAAUAAUAGUAUCUGUGUUAUUCUUAGGACCACUGAUAAAUUAUGCAAUAAAUAAUCAUUUGCAAGUUAAAAAAAAAGACACAGUCUGCCAAAAUUAACACAAAAAGAAAUCAGCACUUUUAGUAAAUUUAUAUUGAUUAAAGUAAUUGGAUUAAUAAUUAAUAACCUUCCAAAACAGAAAGCAUGAGGCCUGGAUGGAUUCAUUAGUGAACGCUUCCAAACAUUUAAGGAAGAAAUUAUACCAAACCUCUAUAAUCUCUUCCGGGAAGCAGAGGUUACUUCCUAACCCAUUCUAUGAGGCUGGCAUACCCUAACAUUCAAAUUAAACCAAGAUUUUACAAAAGCUUGGUGCAGUGGUUCACACCUGUAAUCCCACACUUUGGGAGCCUGUGAUGGGAUGAUCACUUGAGUUCAGGAGUUCAACAUCAGCCUGGGAAAAUAUCAAAGCCUCAUCUCUACUUAAAAAAAAAAUUGCCAGGCCCAGUGGCUCAUGACUUUAGGAGGCGUUUCUACUAAAAAUACAAAAUUAACUGGGUGUGGUGGUACAUGCCUGUAAUCCCAGCUGCUCAGGAGGCUGAGACAGGAGAAUUGCUUGAACCUGGGAGGCAGAGUUUGCAGUGAGCUGAGAUCACACCAUUGCAGUCCAGCCUGGACAACAAGAGCAAAACUCCUUCUCAAAAAAAAAAAAAAAAAAAAAAUAGCUGAUAUGGUGGCACACACCUGUUGUCUCAGCUGCUUGAAAAGCUGAAGUGGGAGGAUAACUUGAGCCCAGGAGAUCAAGGCUGCAGUGAUCUGUGAUCAUGCCACUGCAUUCUAGUUUGGGCAACAGAGUAAGUCCUUGUCUAGAAAAAAAAUUUUCAAGAAAAGAAAUCAAAGAGUAUAAUUAAUUCUAUCAGGAAUGCUGGUUUCUUCAUUUUUGAGGCUAUGACAAACAGGACCAUUUUAUCCAUUGAAUAAUACAGACCCCCACAUCAAGAGUCUGGGAGCUUUUCAGGGUUUAUAAAAAAUGUUUUAUAUGUGAAAAAAAGAAUCUCGAAUUUACAAAAAGAAAACUGCAAAAUCCUACACAUUGCCAAAGCUGUAGAAACUGAACUCCUAGUCUUUUGAUUCCCCGUUUUUUUUUUUUUU